This 484-nucleotide ribosomal RNA is filed under the name uncultured bacterium. RNAcentral's name for it is "partial 16S ribosomal RNA". It matches the Rfam family "Bacterial small subunit ribosomal RNA", at positions 29 to 507 of the family's 1533-position model. The record is from RNAcentral.
AUUGAACGCUGGCGGCAUGCUUUACACAUGCAAGUCGAACGGCAGCGCGGGCUUCGGCCUGGCGGCGAGUGGCGAACGGGUGAGUAAUACAUCGGAACGUGCCCAGUAGUGGGGGAUAGCUCGGCGAAAGCCGGAUUAAUACCGCAUACGACCUGAGGGUGAAAGCGGGGGAUCUUCGGACCUCGCGCUAUUGGAGCGGCCGAUGGCAGAUUAGCUAGUUGGUGGGGUAAGGGCCUACCAAGGCGACGAUCUGUAGCUGGUCUGAGAGGACGACCAGCCACACUGGGACUGAGACACGGCCCAGACUCCUACGGGAGGCAGCAGUGGGGAAUUUUGGACAAUGGGCGAAAGCCUGAUCCAGCAAUGCCGCGUGUGUGAUGAAGGCCUUCGGGUUGUAAAGCACUUUUGGCGGGAACGAAAAGGACUGUGCCAAUACCACGGUUCGAUGACGGUACCCGCAGAAUAAGCACCGGCUAACUACGUG